Molecule: ribosomal RNA, 403 nt
Filed under: uncultured bacterium
Lineage: Bacteria
Description: partial 16S ribosomal RNA
Rfam family: Bacterial small subunit ribosomal RNA
Source: RNAcentral
AUUGAACGCUGGCGGCAGGCCUAACACAUGCAAGUCGAGCGAGCGGCGGACGGGUGAGUAAUGUAUGGGAACUGCCUGAUAGAGGGGGAUAACUACUGGAAACGGUAGCUAAUACCGAAUACAAUCCGAUAACCCAUAUGGGAUUAGCUAGUAGGUGAGGUAAUGGCCCACCUAGGCGACGAUCCCUAGCUGGUCGGAGAGGAUGAUCAGCCACACUGGGACUGAGACACGGCCCAGACUCCUACGGAGGCAGCAGUGGGGAAUAUUGCACAAUGGGCGCAAGCCUGAUGCAGCCAUGCCGCGUGUAUGAAGAAGGCCCUAGGGUUGUAAAGUACUUUCAGUCGGGAGGCGUUACCGACAGAAGAAGCACCGGCUAACUCCGUGCCAGCAGCCGCGGUAAUAC